AGAGUUUGAUCCUGGCUCAGGACGAACGCUGGCGGCGUGCUUAACACAUGCAAGUCGAGCGGUAAGGCCCUUCGGGGUACACGAGCGGCGAACGGGUGAGUAACACGUGAGUAAUCUGCCCUUCACUCUGGGAUAAGCACUCGAAAGGGUGUCUAAUACCGGAUACGACCAGUCCCUGCAUGGGGUGCUGGUGGAAACUUUUGUGGGUGGGGGAUGUGCUCGCGGCCUAUCAGCUUGUUGGUGGGGUAAUGGCCUACCAAGGCUUCGACGGGUAGCCGGCCUGAGAGGGUGACCGGCCACACUGGGACUGAGACACGGCCCAGACUCCUACGGGAGGCAGCAGUGGGGAAUAUUGGACAAUGGGCGGAAGCCUGAUCCAGCAACGCCGCGUGAGGGAUGACGGCCUUCGGGUUGUAAACCUCUUUCAGUAUCGACGAAGCGCCCGUGUGGGUGGUGACGGUAGGUACAGAAGAAGCACCGGCCAACUACGUGCCAGCAGCCGCGGUAAUACGUAGGGUGCGAGCGUUGUCCGGAAUUAUUGGGCGUAAAGGGCUCGUAGGCGGUUUGUCGCGUCGGGAGUGAAAACACUGGGCUUAACCGAGUGCUUGCUUCCGAUACGGGCAGACUUGAGGCAUUGAGGGGAGAACAGAAUUCCUGGUGUAGCGGUGAAAUGCGCAGAUAUCAGGAGGAACACCGGUGGCGAAGGCGGUUCUCUGGCAAUGUUCUGACGCUGAGGAGCGAAAGUGUGGGGAGCGAACAGGAUUAGAUACCCUAGUAGUCC
This 781-nucleotide ribosomal RNA is filed under the name uncultured bacterium. RNAcentral describes it as "bacterial SSU rRNA". It matches the Rfam family "Bacterial small subunit ribosomal RNA", at positions 8 to 796 of the family's 1533-position model. The record is from RNAcentral.